GUGGGAUCAGUUCGAGCAGAUGAAGUGCGAAUUUAAUUGUAACCGUUGUGCUUAUUCUUGGCCUGAGUGGAAUGAUCCGAUCCGUUGGCUCCGAGCUCUGGUACUCUUCUAAAGGCAUCGAUGGAGGCAGUCAGCGAAACAGCCUCUAAUCAGCAGUUGGACCCAGUCGUAAAUCCAGCGAUAAGCCGUGCUCUCCAUGCAUCUCAUCGCAGCUAAAAGAAACCAAUUUUGUGCGUUAGCUGGGCAAAAAGAGCGAGCUGCUGGUGAUUGUCACUUACCCGUGAGGGAAUCCGGAUCUCCGUUCGAUUUUCGGCUGAAAAUUUUCCACUUUGAUAAGAGAAGUUUCUAAGAAUUAAGAGAAUCGUCCGGGGAAAAUUCCUCAAGCGCUGUUUACACAAUGCAAUUCUUAUAC
This is a non-coding RNA of Drosophila melanogaster (fruit fly), 412 nucleotides long. The record is from Ensembl. Lineage: Eukaryota; Metazoa; Arthropoda; Insecta; Diptera; Drosophilidae.